GAUCCUUCCCAACAUACCUUGAAC
Molecule: non-coding RNA, 24 nt
Filed under: Arabidopsis thaliana (thale cress)
Lineage: Eukaryota; Viridiplantae; Streptophyta; Magnoliopsida; Brassicales; Brassicaceae
Source: RNAcentral